AGUUAGAACGCUCGUAGUCGGAUUUCGGGGCGGUCCGACCGGUCUGCCGAUGGGUACGCACUGGUCGGGUUGUCCUUUUUGUUGGAGACCGUGCCUACUCUUAACUGAGCGGGUGCGGGAGACGGCACUUUUACUUUGAAAAAAUCAGAGUGUUUCAAGCAGGCAGCUCGCUCUUGCAUGGAUUAGCAUGGGAUAAUGAAAUAGGACUUUGGUGCUAUUUUGUUGGUUUCGAACACCGAAGUAAUGAUGAGAAGGGACAGUCAGGGGCACUCGUAUUCCGCCGAGAGAGGUGAAAUUCUCAGACCAGCGGAAGACGAACCACUGCGAAAGCAUUUGCCAGGGAUGUUUUCACUGAUCAAGAACGAAAGUUAGGGGAUCGAAGACGAUCAGAUACCGUCGUAGUCUUAACCAUAAACCAUACCGACUAGGGAUUGGAGGAUGUUCACUACUUGACUCUUUCAGCACCUUACGGGAAACUAAAGUCUUUGGGUUCCGGGGGGAGUAUGGUCGCAAGGCUGAAACUUAAAGGAAUUGACGGAAGGGCACCACCAGGUGUGGAGCCUGCGGCUU
RNAcentral lists this ribosomal RNA (570 nucleotides) under uncultured marine eukaryote. Its description in RNAcentral is "SSU rRNA". It matches the Rfam family "Eukaryotic small subunit ribosomal RNA", at positions 617 to 1191 of the family's 1831-position model. The record is from RNAcentral.